UAAGGAAUAUUGGGCAAUGGAGGCAACUCUGACCCAGCCAUGCCGCGUGCAGGAAGACGGCCCUAUGGGUUGUAAACUGCUUUUAAUAGGGAUUAAAGUCGACUACGUGUAGUUGUUUGCAAGUACCUAUAGAAUAAGCAUCGGCUAACUCCGUGCCAGCAGCCGCGGUAAUACGGAGGAUGCAAGCGUUAUCCGGAUUUAUUGGGUUUAAAGGGUGCGCAGGCGGACUAAUAAGUCAGUGGUGAAAUUUACAUGCUUAACAUGUGACGUGCCAUUGAUACUGUUAGACUAGUAUACAAAUGACGUAGCUGGAAUGUGUUAUGUAGCGGUGAAAUGCAUAGAUAUAACACAGAACACCGAUCGUGAAGACAGGUUACGAAUUUGUGAUAGACGCUCAGGCACGAAAGCGUGGGGAUCAAACAGG
This 424-nucleotide ribosomal RNA is filed under the name uncultured prokaryote. RNAcentral's name for it is "bacterial SSU rRNA". It matches the Rfam family "Bacterial small subunit ribosomal RNA", at positions 355 to 776 of the family's 1533-position model. RNAcentral also lists the same sequence under 1 other name. The record is from RNAcentral.